ACACGACUACAUUAGAUACCCCUGUAGUCCUAGCCGUAAACGAUACUCGCUAGGUGUCGGCCACGGUGCGACCGUUGUCGGUGCCGUAGGGAAGCCGUGAAGCGAGCCACCUGGGAAGUACGGCCGCAAGGCUGAAACUUAAAGGGAUUGGCGGGGGAGCACAACAACGGGUGGAGCUUGCGGUUUAAUUGGAUUCAACGCCGGAAAUCUUACCGGGACCGACAGCAACAUGAAGGCCAAGCUGAAGACUUUGCCGGAUUAGCUG
Molecule: ribosomal RNA, 265 nt
Filed under: uncultured archaeon
Lineage: Archaea
Description: partial 16S ribosomal RNA
Rfam family: Archaeal small subunit ribosomal RNA
Source: RNAcentral